RNAcentral lists this long non-coding RNA (1393 nucleotides) under Equus caballus (horse). Its description in RNAcentral is "lncRNA (ENSECAG00000058256.1)". Lineage: Eukaryota; Metazoa; Chordata; Mammalia; Perissodactyla; Equidae. The record is from RNAcentral.
UUCCAUGAAGAGCUUGCUUUGAAGGCAGACUUUCACUGCCAGGUCUCCAGGGAGACUCAUUUUUUCCAGCUCUCACUUUUGCUAUCUCUGACUCAUCUCUCAAAGUUUAAGGGAAAACAUUCUUAUGGGGGGAACAUGUGGGGGUCAAGAUGAAAGUUUUUGAGUGUCUCCAAAUGUCCCUAUGAUCAGAGCUUCACAGAAGUUUGCUCAAGUUCCAGUGUGAUGACCCCAGCUCCAGACUCAUCCAGCAGACGGGAGAAUGGGUGAGACACACAGAGGCAGUGGUCCCCGAAGUCAAGAAGCCCUGUCAUUCUUGGGAGGAAGUAAUGAUUUACUCUUGAGAGAGGAGGUAGGAAUAAAGUUCUAGACACUGUCGGGAGGGGGAUCAGGAGUGAGAAGAUGAGGGGAAGGUUAUCCAGACGCUAAAGAAUAAGGAGAAGAUACCAAACAAGCUUGAGUGGCCUUCCUAAGCCCCUGCAAAAAUAACCUCCAAUGACAGAAACAAACCGGCUAAUGAUGAAAACAAAUCCCAUCCAGAAGAACGGGCUUUGACUGGCUUUGCCUCUUGGAUGAAAGCAUUUGGGGGAAACAAGUUGACCCUGAUUCUGCAGCGAUAAAAUAUGGCAGUAUCUUUGACUUACUGUUGCAACUGUUUAUUCUAAUCUUUCAAAUUCUUUUCAGUUUCCUAUUAACACCUCAGGAUUAAGUUCAUCAAAGCAUGGGUGGGUGCAGAUAGCAGCAGCCAGUUUUUGUCUGGUUUGUUUAAUAUGACCCACACUUCUAACCAGUGGACUCUGCUUCAUACCACUGAGCAGUAAAUUCUCGGGAUCUUGAUUCAGUCUGUCAGUGGCCUCAGCUGACAAUGAUUUCUUCACCAAAGUGCAGGGAGAGAAUUAACGCCAUCUCUGACAAGUGAGCUUGGCAGAAGACUGGCCGUAUGCCUCGGCGCUGACAGUGCAGACGGUCUACGCCUGCGGAGGCCCCAUCACCAGGGUUCACGCAGCUUUGGCAUUGCAUAAAUUAUAUAGAAGAAAAAUAAAUGGCUUCUCCUUUGGGGGGGCUGAGAUGUUCUGAUUUUUUUUUUUUAAACAUUUUACUGUUCUAUAAACAGUCUCCCAUGGCCCGGUUUUAAUUACAAGUAUGCAUCUUUAUUUUUUUCUUUUCCCAAACCUGGGCAGUAAAGGAUUGCACAUUUAAAAGAAACCACAUACAGAAAGAAACCACAUUCUUGGAAUGGAACACCCUGAAACAGCAUCUACAUGUUUCCUGGACUGACGUUGAUGGCUUCCAUAUAUGCAGGUUUAGAAUUACUCUCAGCAGUUGGGGCAGCUUUGAGGGAGCUGGGAGAAGCGCCCAUCCUUCUUCUACUUUCUUGGACUUCUGGUCUAUUUCC